This 441-nucleotide ribosomal RNA is filed under the name uncultured bacterium. RNAcentral's name for it is "partial 16S ribosomal RNA". It matches the Rfam family "Bacterial small subunit ribosomal RNA", at positions 338 to 795 of the family's 1533-position model. The record is from RNAcentral.
CCUACGGUGGACAGCAGUGGGGAAUAUUGCACAAUGGGGGAAACCCUGAUGCAGCGACGCCGCGUGAGUGAAGAAGUAUUUCGGUAUGUAAAGCUCUAUCAGCAGGGAAGAAGCAAGACGGUACCUGACUAAGAAGCCCCGGCUAACUACGUGCCAGCAGCCGCGGUAAUACGUAGGGGGCAAGCGUUAUCCGGAUUUACUGGGUGUAAAGGGAGCGUAGACGGUAUGGCAAGUCUGAAGUGAAAGCCCAGGGCUUAACCCUGGGACUGCUUUGGAAACUGUUAGACUAGAGUGCUGGAGAGGUAAGUGGAAGUCCUAGUGUAGCGGUGAAAUGCGUAGAUAUUAGGAGUAACACCAGUGGCGAAGGCGGCUUACUGGACUGCAACUGACACUGAGGCUCGAAAGUGUGGUUAUCAAACAGGAUUAGAUACCCGGGUAGUC